RNAcentral lists this ribosomal RNA (468 nucleotides) under uncultured bacterium. RNAcentral's name for it is "partial 16S ribosomal RNA". It matches the Rfam family "Bacterial small subunit ribosomal RNA", at positions 28 to 507 of the family's 1533-position model. The record is from RNAcentral.
GACGAACGCUGGCGGCGUGCUUAACACAUGCAAGUCGAACGGAAAGGCCCUGCUUUUGUGGGGUGCUCGAGUGGCGAACGGGUGAGUAACACGUGAGUAAACUGCCCUUGACUUUGGGAUAACUUCAGGAAACUGGGGCUAAUACCGGAUAGGAGCUCCUGCUGCAUGGUGGGGGUUGGAAAGUUUCGGCGGUUGGGGAUGGACUCGCGGCUUAUCAGCUUGUUGGUGGGGUAGUGGCUUACCAAGGCUUUGACGGGUAGCCGGCCUGAGAGGGUGACCGGCCACAUUGGGACUGAGAUACGGCGCAGACUCCUACGGGAGGCAGCAGUGGGGAAUAUUGCACAAUGGGCGGAAGCCUGAUGCAGCAACGCCGCGUGCGGGAUGACGGCCUUCGGGUUGUAAACCGCUUUCGCCUGUGACGAAGCGUGAGUGACGGUAAUGGGUAAAGAAGCACCGGCUAACUACGUG